GAAAAAAAUACAGAAGAAAGAUGCCAAACACAAUGUUUUUUUGUGGAAUUUGUCUUCCUUGGUCCUGAUAAUGGCUCUCUCCCUGGAUUCAUCUGAGUUGAAGUUCAGAGCCUCUCUGAGACACUCUGCAAGAGAUGGAGAGAACAGUGUGGCCCCAGUGCAAGGCAAAUGCAUACUUGAAAGGAAGAUGAAGUGACUGUCGCUGUAUUCUCACCAGAGAGGAAGGAAGAAAGGAAGACUUUUUUGUGUGCCCAUUGCUUGGAGUUUACUAGUUUACUGCUAUAUUGAUAUUCACUCUUGUAUACAGAGAAGAGAGAAGGAAGGAAGGGGAAUAAAGAGAAACAAGGAGUCUCUUCAGUUCUAUCCCAAAUCAAAUAAACCAAACGUAUGUGAAAUUUGUACAAAGUAUUUACCUGUUAACUUUUAUGUGAUGCUUGUAUUAAAAGUUAACAAUAGUAUAAUCAUUUUCUUUUCAAAAGCGUCUGAAGUUUCAGACUGGUUUAGAUUGCAUUUUCAGAGUCCAUGGUAUUAACAAAAAUGUAGAUAUUAAUUAAAUUCAUAGAAACUGUUUAGAAUAAACGUGUCAAAAAAUUU
This is a long non-coding RNA of Neofelis nebulosa (Clouded leopard), 594 nucleotides long. RefSeq lists it as uncharacterized. The record is from RefSeq and is a predicted model, not a curated record. The transcript has 3 exons. Lineage: Eukaryota; Metazoa; Chordata; Mammalia; Carnivora; Felidae.